CCAGCUUGCUGGGUGGAUUAGUGGCGAACGGGUGAGUAAUACGUGAGUAACCUGCCCUUGACUCUGGGAUAAGCCUGGGAAACCGGGUCUAAUACUGGAUACUACUUCCUGCCGCAUGGUGGGUGGUGGAAAGGGUUUUACUGGUUUUGGAUGGGCUCACGGCCUAUCAGCUUGUUGGUGGGGUAAUGGCUCACCAAGGCGACGACGGGUAGCCGGCCUGAGAGGGUGACCGGCCACACUGGGACUGAGACACGGCCCAGACUCCUACGGGAGGCAGCAGUGGGGAAUAUUGCACAAUGGGCGGAAGCCUGAUGCAGCGACGCCGCGUGAGGGAUGACGGCCUUCGGGUUGUAAACCUCUUUCAGUAGGGAAGAAGCGCAAGUGACGGUACCUGCAGAAGAAGCGCCGGCUAACUACGUGCCAGCAGCCGCGGUAAUACGUAGGGCGCAAGCGUUGUCCGGAAUUAUUGGGCGUAAAGAGCUCGUAGGCGGUUUGUCGCGUCUGCUGUGAAAGCCCGGGGCUCAACCCCGGGUCUGCAGUGGGUACGGGCAGACUAGAGUGCAGUAGGGGAGACUGGAAUUCCUGGUGUAGCGGUGAAAUGCGCAGAUAUCAGGAGGAACACCGAUGGCGAAGGCAGGUCUCUGGGCUGUUACUGACGCUGAGGAGCGAAAGCAUGGGGAGCGAACAGGAUUAGAUACCCUGGUAGUCCAUGCCGUAAACGUUGGGCACUAGGUGUGGGGGACAUUCCACGUUUUCCGCGCCGUAGCUAACGCAUUAAGUGCCCCGCCUGGGGAGUACGGCCGCAAGGCUAAAACUCAAAGGAAUUGACGGGGGCCCGCACAAGCGGCGGAGCAUGCGGAUUAAUUCGAUGCAACGCGAAGAACCUUACCAAGGCUUGACAUUCACCGGACCGCCCCAGAGAUGGGGUUUCCCUUCGGGGUCGGUGGACAGGUGGUGCAUGGUUGUCGUCAGCUCGUGUCGUGAGAUGUUGGGUUAAGUCCCGCAACGAGCGCAACCCUCGUUCUAUGUUGCCAGCACGUGAUGGUGGGGACUCAUAGGAGACUGCCGGGGUCAACUCGGAGGAAGGUGGGGAUGACGUCAAAUCAUCAUGCCCCUUAUGUCUUGGGCUUCACGCAUGCUACAAUGGCCGGUACAAAGGGUUGCGAUACUGUGAGGUGGAGCUAAUCCCAAAAAGCC
Molecule: ribosomal RNA, 1197 nt
Filed under: Kocuria rosea
Lineage: Bacteria; Bacillati; Actinomycetota; Actinomycetes; Micrococcales; Micrococcaceae
Description: bacterial SSU rRNA
Rfam family: Bacterial small subunit ribosomal RNA
Source: RNAcentral